CAGUGCGCUCGCCGGUGAGACGAAGAUUCCCGAACCUGGAAUUGAAUAUACCGAUUGAUUGAUUUAUCCAAGCUUGUAGGCGUUAUUAUUAUUAUUCAUUUUUGUUUGCCAAAACUCUUUUUCAGAAGGCUACUUACUACCAAUCUAUGAUUUACAUCUGGGGGAUGUCGAAAAACCAUGUGAUUGUAUGAAUGAUUUAGCAUAACAAGGAUAAAAUUUGCAUUCAAACAUUUGCAUUCAGAAAAAUGUUCAAAGGACGUCCAAAAAGCCCGACGCAACAUGAGUCGAAUAUUCAGACUGUUCUAAAAGAGGAAUUAAAGACAUGCAUUUCGAUGCACCAAGGUUUCCAAGGUUUUCCGGCCAGUGAAACGCUCACACCCAUAGGGAAUGUAUAGUUAGCAUAGUUGGAACUGGUGUAGAAACAGCUGCGUGUGUACACCUCGUCGGAAAAUAUAUCGCUUAUAUAUCGCAUCGGCACCUAUAACCCAAGCUCGCUGCAUUUCCAAUUACCUCGCGAGUGAAAUUAACGCUCAUUAUUCCGAUUCCAGUGAGCGUUGAUUGGUUGAAAGUUUUGCAUAGCUGCACUUGAAUAUCCCGUUGGUAGGAAUCUCAUCUGGUUGAUUCGCAAACGCUGCUUCGAAUUAUCGAUUGUGCAGUAAUAUUUUUACUUAUUUAUACAUCUCGGAUUCGCGGAGCGACCCGAAAUCAGCUUGUACAUACGAUAAGUUCGAACGAGUUUUUAAACAUAUUAUUAUCUAUACGUUUUAGUUACUACUGAGAUUAACGAUUGCUAUGGCUACCAGAUCCAGUUUUGAAAAUAAUCUGAGAGAAAUCAAUUUCGAAUUCUCUUCCUAGUAUGAGAUGUACUAUACACGAAGUCGAGUGCAUAAGCUUAAGUGAAAUAUUGACUAUAAUAAAUCAUACGCACGGCGACGCAGUGGAAUUAAAAACGACCUUUGCAUAAAACGAAGUAAGUGCAACAAUAUUCAGGCAAUUAAGAUGCAGAGCAACUAUCCAUUCAAUCACUUCAUACAAGCUCUCAAUUCCUAAUCAGAUUUCAACGUGAUCUAAUUAAUUAAAAUGGAGUAUCGAGUAUACUAAAACUAAUUAUAACUUGUACGUACUUUCCUCGUGAUCCCACGUCACAUCGAGAACCUCGAUCGCUUCUUGCGUAGACUCACUAUUCCAAAACUCAUAUCCAAAAAUAUACUCCUCGUCCCGUCAUCCCCCACGUGAGCCAGACGGUAAAGAUCCAAUCGAGACUACUGUGUAUAUAUACACUCGUAUUCGAGCAAACAAAGAAACGGGCUAUCGAAAUAAGCAAAAGAGUCGUGGAUUCGCGGGAAAGCCGAGACGUUGCGUGUCGAGGAGCACGACGCCUCGUGUAUGACGUGUGAUCGCGCUCACGUGAAAAUUCGCGGGCAAAUACAGCUUCGUCAAUUAAAGUCUACGUUACAACGAGCUAAUUUGUACGCGAGAAUUUUUUUAGAGGUGUAUGUGGAUAGUCGUUAUGGGGCAAGGGACCCGCUGACUAUGGCAAUGCUUGGCUGCAAUUUUUGGGAAAGGAAUGUAUUUGCUUAAGUGUUAACGGCUGAUGAAAGUUCUUCGGUUAUGUCCAGGAUAAUAUUCUAAAUAUGUCACACACAAUGUAUGUUUGCGUUGAAUUGACGACGACUGCUGUCACGAGUUGCUGAUUUUUCAGCUUCGAUGCUGAGGUUUGCUGUUCUAGUCAAAUAAUAUUAUUCAAAUGUAAGACAUGUUUCCGCGCAUUAAUCUUUGGCUGACAAGUUAGAAUGGAGUGUGCAGUAAUUAAUACGAUAUUUUAUUAAUUAAAGAUUAAUUAUAUCCAGCACGUGCGCGUUCUUCUACAUAGUCAACAUAAACAACGAGUAUACAAUUACCAACGUAUUUUUGCAACUGUAUCAUUGCUCAACGACUUUUUGCAUUCUACAUUCACUCGACCCUUGAAAAAAAAAAUCCCCGUUUAAACAUAUAGCUUAAUUGCCAGUUGCACACGUGCGUUAUCCUCGCGCGCAGAAUCCUCCGCCGCGAUGAAAACCAUCUCUAUGAACUGGCAAAGCGGCAAUCAUUGAGUCUACUUGGAGAUUUCUCUCUGUUCGUGUCUCGCGAUUGUGGUUAUGCAAUUGAGCUGCGUGCGGCGAAAAAAACGAUAUAUCCUUAUCUCCACCGAUGUUUUAUUUCGUUUGCAUUGAUAUAGUAUUAGUGUCAUAGAUUAAUCGUCGUUUUGCAAUUUAUUGAGUCAUUACAAUAACGAGUUUUUUUUUUGUUAACAUGAGAAUUAUGCUUGAUUGUAUCGGAUUGAAAGCCGUAUAACGUUUGUUAUUAUUAUUAUAUUAUACUCGCUUUGACAGGCCUGCGUUGACGUUUUGAAUAUAGUAUAAUGUUUUUGUGCUGUAUAAUAUAAUGUUCAGUGUAUGUGCAUCAACUAUAUCGCCGUUAAUUAAAAGCUGAAUGAUAUAUUAUCAAAGCCAAAUUGAUAUACGCGUGUGUACCUGCAAUAAUUCAUCGUAAUGAUACGCGCAAACAGAAAAUCAGCCAUACAGUAGCGUUGAUUUAUGCUUUCAAAAAUUCAUUCGCGGAAAUAAUUAAUAACAAAUUUUUCACUCUUUAUUCCUUCUAGAUUAUAAGUUGACCACAGCUGUAUAUUUCAUUUGCUUCUGAUAAGAAAAUAAACACAACUCGCGUGCAUCGUAUCAUAUUGAUAAAUAAUGAAAAUCGCAGCAGAUCUCGCGCCAGCAACGAAAUCCAGAGGAUAAAAAAAUUACGCUUGAACAAUUAUAGGCUCGCCCAAAAUCGAAUACGACAUUCUGAUCUCACAAAAGCUCGCGCGGCACCUAAUCCAAUUCAUCCAAAUCACAUCACAUUAGCCGCACUUCCCGGUACGUACUCGUACAUAAAUCCAAAUCGAGCGUGGAAUACGCCGCAGCGUCUUCCAAAGUCGUCCUCGUCUCUUCAAUUGGCUCUAAUGUAUGUACACACACACACACACACUGCAGGACGACGUGGGAAGAAGCUCAUGUGCUCGGUCGCCAACACGAAACGAGGGAAUUACAAUGUAUUAAGACAUUAUGAAAGCCAGGGGAUAUUCUAUUAUACACGACUCUAAUAAUAGAAUGUGUCUUUUCUUUUUUUGUUGGCAUUACGACAUAUAUUGUAUAUGGCCCGUUGAAAUUCCCGAUGGUCGACUCGCGGGGAAUAUCAUUAUACGACUGAUCGCGUGAGGCAAAAGUAUUCGGCGAUGCUCUUAUCGCUCCGCUGCUGAUGCUCGUCUGACUAAUCGAGGCGAGUGAACAAAUUUUAAAUGACUUUCAUUUUUGGACUUUGGGAGGUCUUAUCAAUAUAGCCGAAAUAAUAUUUGAGGGAAUCUGAGGUGCCCACACCAUGUGAAUGCGAUUAGUUUGAAUAUUACGGUUUUUUUUCAUAAGAAUGCAACCGAGUCUUUAAUUAUUCCGAAAUGAUGAUACACGCCGAAAUCAAGAAUGUAUAAGGUAUUGAGCAACGGGAGCAGUGCGUAAACGCUCGGAACUGCUGACACGCAUGCAUUUUGUGCAAUUCCGCAAAUUUUCGGGCCCGACCGUCAUCUCUUCGACGCUUACCCAUUAUACUCAACAUAUAUACUUUUUGAAAACUCCUCGCGUUUUAUCUUUGAGCAAAGCUAUUGCGGAUGGAUCUUUCGAGACGCACGUGCGCUCAGCUCAUUCACCGGCGCGAACGCAACGACUCGCUCUUGUUGACUUGAGCUAUAUUAUAUUUUAAAGCUAUCGACGACGUUUAAAACUAGAGAACCGGUUAUACUUUAUCCGUAUACAAACAUUGUUUAUGAUAAGAUAAGAGUGUCAUAUGCAUGAAAAAGAAAAACGUUUUCCCGUUAACGGAAUGAGCAAUUUCGGUCUAUGCUUGGAAAAUAAUCGAAGCAAAAAUGCGCAUAAACGUGUCUUAUCGCAUUGGAGACAAACUUUCCAUACGUAUGUAACUAUCGAAUUAGCCGCGCAUUAUUCAACACAUACUUAAUACGUUCUGUGAGCUGUGAGCAAAAAGUAAACAAACAUAAGAUCGAGCAAAUUUACCGAUCAUAACGGCGGCGAUCAUGCUGAUCGCGCUCAUCAGUCCGAGUUCCCUCUUCAGUCCCACCUGCUCCACCUCGUCUUCCUUUUUCGCCUUCGACAUGUUCGUGCAGUAGAAAAUCAACCAAAAUUAAGCCACGAAUUUAUUCUCUCCAGUCCAUUCGGUUCCCGGCGACGCUCUUCUUCGGUUUCCAG
RNAcentral lists this long non-coding RNA (4280 nucleotides) under Nasonia vitripennis (jewel wasp). Its description in RNAcentral is "uncharacterized LOC116417640". Lineage: Eukaryota; Metazoa; Arthropoda; Insecta; Hymenoptera; Pteromalidae. The record is from RNAcentral.